CACCUAGAUGUGCUUCUGGGAAUAUUCAACAUUAAAAACAAAUUAUUUUAAUUUUAAUUGUAGAUUCUGUGGCAAAUAUGAUACACAGAGCCAAAGAAGAUCCUAUACCCUUGAAGGCCCAGACCAAAUCUACCAUGACAGGUAAAGAGUGUCUGUACCAGAUGAUUAUUUAGUGAUUGAAAAUGCUGUCUGUCAUAUGGCAUCUUUGCAAUGUCCUUGUGAAAAUAGAUGCAUUUUUACUGGUGUCCCUGUGGUUUUGUUUGUCCCUAAUGCAAUGGUGACAGUCCCGGGGCCCUAUUGCUCUCAGCCACCUCUGGUUCCUGUGCAAUGUACUGUGUCCUUCAUUAUAUAUUCUGGUCCCAUCUGGUCUGACAAGCCUUCUCCAUCCUCAGAAGCGAUUACAAAUAAUAAUGAUGACAAAACCCAGAGAAUUUUUGCUUUAUUUUGAAAAUGAUUGUUUUGUGUUGCAUGGUGGUGCUUCCUGCCUCUCUCUGGGGUCGCCUGGCAACCAUUUGCUAGCCUCCUGCCAUCAGAUCCCUAUCGAGCAAGGGCAUCUGGAAGCUCAUUUGGGAUGAGAACUGCUCCCUUUCACCAUCCCUGCUGGCCUUCUGUGGGCAGAGAUGCCCUGUGACUGUUCCUGUCUGAUCACAUUCCCCACUCUCCUCACCCUGAAGCUAACAUCUCUGCACUGGCUGGAGUAAGCCCAAAGGUUGUUAAACUCUGGUUUGGCUACUGGGUUUUGCUACAGGAAUGAAAGUGGAAGAAUGCCUUGUGCUGAUCCACACCUUGCCUCGGCAGUGCUUUUCUCAGGAUCACAAAGCUGUGGGUCCACUUUGGCCUCUGCUCAACAGCUCAGGUGUAGCAUCAGGAACACCUCAAGAACUGCUCUUGCUGAUGCUCUCUGUUGUAAUAUCCACCCUCAGGAACCAACAUUUCUAACUUGGACAACUGAAACUUGCUGGAAAACGGAGCAGACUUCCUGUGUGAAGGAAAUGGAUGCCACAUAUAGAAACAAAAGUUACUGGAACACUGCUGUACACUAG
RNAcentral lists this long non-coding RNA (1043 nucleotides) under Cyanistes caeruleus (blue tit). Its description in RNAcentral is "lncRNA (ENSCCEG00000000756.1)". Lineage: Eukaryota; Metazoa; Chordata; Aves; Passeriformes; Paridae. The record is from RNAcentral.